This 998-nucleotide ribosomal RNA is filed under the name uncultured beta proteobacterium. Its description in RNAcentral is "bacterial SSU rRNA". It matches the Rfam family "Bacterial small subunit ribosomal RNA", at positions 505 to 1501 of the family's 1533-position model. Lineage: Bacteria; Pseudomonadati; Pseudomonadota; Betaproteobacteria. The record is from RNAcentral.
GUGCCAGCCGCCGCGGUAAUACGUAGGGUGCGAGCGUUAAUCGGAAUUACUGGGCGUAAAGCGUGCGCAGGCGGUUUUGUAAGUCAGAUGUGAAAUCCCCGAGCUCAACUUGGGAACUGCGUUUGAAACUACAAGACUAGAAUAUGUCAGAGGGGGGUAGAAUUCCACGUGUAGCAGUGAAAUGCGUAGAGAUGUGGAGGAAUACCAAUGGCGAAGGCAGCCCCCUGGGAUAAUAUUGACGCUCAUGCACGAAAGCGUGGGGAGCAAACAGGAUUAGAUACCCUGGUAGUCCACGCCCUAAACGAUGUCUACUAGUUGUUGGUGGAGUAAAAUCCAUGAGUAACGCAGCUAACGCGUGAAGUAGACCGCCUGGGGAGUACGAUCGCAAGAUUAAAACUCAAAUGAAUUGACGGGGGCCCGCACAAGCGGUGGAUUAUGUGGAUUAAUUCGAUGCAACGCGAAAAACCUUACCUGGCCUUGACAUGUACCGAAUUUACCAGGGAUGGUUUAGUGCUCGAAAGAGAACGGUAACACAGGUGCUGCAUGGCUGUCGUCGGCUCGUGUCGUGAGAUGUUGGGUUAAGUCCCGCAACGAGCGCAACCCUUGCCAAUAAUUGCCAUCAUUUAGUUGGGCACUUUAUUGGGACUGCCGGUGACAAACCGGAGGAAGGUGGGGAUGACGUCAAGUCCUCAUGGCCCUUAUGGCCAGGGCUUCACACGUAAUACAAUGGUCGGUACAGAGGGUCGCCAACCCGCGAGGGGGAGCUAAUCCCAGAAAGCCGAUCGUAGUCCGGAUUGCAGGCUGCAACUCGCCUGCAUGAAGUCGGAAUCGCUAGUAAUCGCGGAUCAGCAUGUCGCGGUGAAUACGUUCCCGGGCCUUGUACACACCGCCCGUCACACCAUGGGAGUGGGUUUUACCAGAAGUAGGUAGUCUAACCGCAAGGGGGGCGCUUACCACGGUAGUAUUCAUGACUGGGGUGAAGUCGUAACAAGGUAACC